UUGAACGCUGGCGGCAUGCCUAACACAUGCAAGUCGAACGGCAGCGCGGGGGCAACCCUGGCGGCGAGUGGCGGACGGGUGAGGAAUGCAUCGGAAUCUGCCCUGUUGUGGGGGAUAACCAACCGAAAGGUUGGCUAAUACCGCAUGAGACGGCGACGUGAAAGCGGGGGAUCUUUGGACCUCGCGCGACAGGAUGAGCCGAUGCCGGAUUAGCUAGUUGGUGGGGUAAAGGCCCACCAAGGCGACGAUCCGUAGCUGGUCUGAGAGGAUGAUCAGCCACACUGGAACUGAGACACGGUCCAGACUCCUACGGGAGGCAGCAGUGGGGAAUAUUGGACAAUGGGCGCAAGCCUGAUCCAGCAAUGCCGCGUGUGUGAAGAAGGCCUUCGGGUUGUAAAGCACUUUUGUCCGGAACGAAAAGCGAUGGGUUAAUACCCUGUCGUGCUGACGGUACCGGGUGAAUAAGCACCGGCUAACUUCGU
This 482-nucleotide ribosomal RNA is filed under the name uncultured bacterium. RNAcentral's name for it is "bacterial SSU rRNA". It matches the Rfam family "Bacterial small subunit ribosomal RNA", at positions 29 to 506 of the family's 1533-position model. The record is from RNAcentral.